GAUGAACGCUAGCUACAGGCUUAACACAUGCAAGUCGCGGGGCAGCAUGGGGGUUGCUUGCAACCCCUGAUGGCGACCGGCGCACGGGUGAGUAACGCGUAUCCAACCUGCCCUUCACCACGGGAUAACCCGGCGAAAGUCGGACUAAUACCGUAUGUUGUCCAUUGACGGCAUCCGAUUUGGACGAAAGGCUUGGCGGUGAAGGGAUGGGGAUGCGUCCGAUUAGCUUGACGGCGGGGUAACGGCCCACCGUGGCUACGAUCGGUAGGGGUUCUGAGAGGAAGGUCCCCCACACUGGAACUGAGACACGGUCCAGACUCCUACGGGAGGCAGCAGUGAGGAAUAUUGGUCAAUGGGCGUAAGCCUGAACCAGCCAAGUAGCGUGCAGGAUGACGGCCCUAUGGGUUGUAAACUGCUUUUAUGCGGGGAUAAAGUGGCCCACGUGUGGGCUUUUGCAGGUACCGCAUGAAUAAGGACCGGCUAAUUCCGUG
Molecule: ribosomal RNA, 491 nt
Filed under: uncultured bacterium
Lineage: Bacteria
Description: partial 16S ribosomal RNA
Rfam family: Bacterial small subunit ribosomal RNA
Source: RNAcentral